AAUCCAUAGGUUAAUGAGGCGAACCGGGGGAACUGAAACAUCUAAGUACCCCGAGGAAAAGAAAUCAACCGAGAUUCCCCCAGUAGCGGCGAGCGAACGGGGAGGAGCCCAGAGCCUGAAUCAGCAUGUGUGUUAGUGGAAGCGUCUGGAAAGGCGCGCGAUACAGGGUGACAGCCCCGUACACAAAAGCGCAUGUGCUGUGAGCUCGAUGAGUAGGGCGGGACACGUGGUAUCCUGUCUGAAUAUGGGGGGACCAUCCUCCAAGGCUAAAUACUCCUGACUGACCGAUAGUGAACCAGUACCGUGAGGGAAAGGCGAAAAGAACCCCGGCGAGGGGAGUGAAAAAGAACCUGAAACCGUGUACGUACAAGCAGUGGGAGCACAGGUUUACCUGUGUGACUGCGUACCUUUUGUAUAAUGGGUCAGCGACUUAUAUUCUGUAGCAAGGUUAACCGUAUAGGGGAGCCGGAGGGAAACCGAGUCUUAACCGGGCGUUAAGUUGCAGGGUAUAGACCC
Molecule: ribosomal RNA, 516 nt
Filed under: Salmonella enterica subsp. enterica serovar Muenchen
Lineage: Bacteria; Pseudomonadati; Pseudomonadota; Gammaproteobacteria; Enterobacterales; Enterobacteriaceae
Description: partial 23S ribosomal RNA
Rfam family: Bacterial large subunit ribosomal RNA
Source: RNAcentral